This is a non-coding RNA of Cinara cedri, 336 nucleotides long. The record is from the annotation of a GenBank genome assembly. Lineage: Eukaryota; Metazoa; Arthropoda; Insecta; Hemiptera; Aphididae.
CUCGGUGCAGUAUAUUGUUACGUAGUACGGAUAGCAGAGACUUGGCUAAUCCGGAAAACCGAUGAGUACACACUUCUUAGUUUUUGAUAGGGAAAUCCUAAGAAAUCGUUUGGCGUUUUUAUCGGACAGUAAGAUCAAUGAGUGGAGUACAAGAAAGAACUUAAAUGGCCGUAUCAGGGACCGAACAUCGUAGUGGCCGUCAGGAACAAGACUGUACUUAUUAGCUCGGAAAAGUCUAAACUCACUACUCCGUACAGUGCUGGAAAAGUACAAUGUUGGAAAAUUCCAUUGGAAACCGAGAAGGUGACGGAAAGAUGUGAAAUAGAACUAGGAGGA